This 726-nucleotide ribosomal RNA is filed under the name uncultured bacterium. Its description in RNAcentral is "bacterial SSU rRNA". It matches the Rfam family "Bacterial small subunit ribosomal RNA", at positions 140 to 853 of the family's 1533-position model. The record is from RNAcentral.
GGGAUAACACUUGGAAACAGGUGCUAAUACCGUAUAACACUAUUUUCCGCAUGGAAGAAAGUUGAAAGGCGCUUUUGCGUCACUGAUGGAUGGACCCGCGGUGCAUUAGCUAGUUGGUGAGGUAACGGCUCACCAAGGCCACGAUGCAUAGCCGACCUGAGAGGGUGAUCGGCCACACUGGGACUGAGACACGGCCCAGACUCCUACGGGAGGCAGCAGUAGGGAAUCUUCGGCAAUGGACGAAAGUCUGACCGAGCAACGCCGCGUGAGUGAAGAAGGUUUUCGGAUCGUAAAACUCUGUUGUUAGAGAAGAACAAGGAUGAGAGUAAAAUGUUCAUCCCUUGACGGUAUCUAACCAGAAAGCCACGGCUAACUACGUGCCAGCAGCCACGGUAAUACGUAGGUGGCAAGCGUUGUCCGGAUUUAUUGGGCGUAAAGCGAGCGCAGGCGGUUUCUUAAGUCUGAUGUGAAAGCCCCCGGCUCAACCGGGGAGGGUCAUUGGAAACUGGGAGACUUGAGUGCAGAAGAGGAGAGUGGAAUUCCAUGUGUAGCGGUGAAAUGCGUAGAUAUAUGGAGGAACACCAGUGGCGAAGGCGGCUCUCUGGUCUGUAACUGACGCUGAGGCUCGAAAGCGUGGGGAGCGAACAGGAUUAGAUACCCUGGUAGUCCACGCCGUAAACGAUCCGUAAAGGUGUUGGAGGGUUUCCGCCCUUCAGUGCUGCAGCA